This 253-nucleotide ribosomal RNA is filed under the name uncultured bacterium. Its description in RNAcentral is "partial 16S ribosomal RNA". It matches the Rfam family "Bacterial small subunit ribosomal RNA", at positions 524 to 776 of the family's 1533-position model. The record is from RNAcentral.
UACAGAGGUCUCAAGCGUUGUUCGGAUUCAUUGGGCGUAAAGGGUGCGUAGGUGGCGCUGUAAGUCGGGUGUGAAAUUUCGGAGCUUAACUCCGAAACUGCAUUCGAUACUGCGGUGCUUGAGGACUGGAGAGGAGACUGGAAUCCAUGGUGUAGCAGUGAAAUGCGUAGAGAUCAUGAGGAAGACCAGUGGCGAAGGCGGGUCUCUGGACAGUUCCUGACACUGAGGCACGAAGGCCAGGGGAGCAAACGGG